CUUCUUUCUGAUCACAUCUGUCCCGCUGCUCACAGUCUGCUGCUGCUCACAUUCUUCACAUUUAUAGUCCACUUUUAAAAGUUCAGCAGACAGGUGCUCUGCUUUCGAGUGUGACGAUGUUGUCGGUGAUGUGGAGAGUGAAGUUUCCGUUUCACCCACAGCGUGCUUUAGGACAGCCAGAGUGAAAGUAGCAGUUCCUCCUUAAGGUCAGAGAUUGCAGCAUCUGAGGGCCUCUUCAAAAGAAGAUGUAGUUGAUGAAGACGUUCUGGAGCAGGGCCAGAAAGACCACGACCAAGCAGCCUUGAGAUCUUAGGCAGCGUCUCCUUCAGGUCCCUCUCUAUCUCCCCACACAUCCACCAACCACUGGAACACAUCUCCAAAGUUCUGCCGGACCAGCUCAGCUUCCCCUCAGAAGAAGUGCUGCCACCUGCCAGAUGAAGGAGCCUUUUGAGAGGCAGCUGGCAUCGUGAUUGGACUGUACUUUGGUCUGUUCCAAUCCAGCUUCAGCUCCAGAGACGGCAGGCGGGACGAGUCAACGGAGGCUGGGUGGACGAAGACAUGCAGCUGAGUACAAUCCAGAAAACAACAGAGGAGGAGUGCAGCGGCCCAUUAUAGCCUUUGACCAAAGAACUACAGACUCUUCACAACCUGCUCAAACUCUUGGUACAGGACCUCACCACACGGAUCAAGAAGGUUUCCUUCUCCUCAUUUCUACUCUGAAGCUCACCUUCUCCUGCUCAAACUGCUGACAAAUGUUUCUACUGCUCUAAAGUC
Molecule: long non-coding RNA, 774 nt
Organism: Amphiprion ocellaris (clown anemonefish)
Lineage: Eukaryota; Metazoa; Chordata; Actinopteri; Pomacentridae
Source: Ensembl